This is a non-coding RNA of Lolium perenne, 1459 nucleotides long. NCBI's taxonomy places the organism in Eukaryota, Viridiplantae, Streptophyta, Magnoliopsida, Poales, Poaceae. The record is from RefSeq and is a predicted model, not a curated record.
GCCUCUCUAUCCGCAGGCGAGCUGGAUGGAAGUCUUCCGGAAGGAUCAGACUGGAUGGGGAAGGACGGUUCCGGUCGGCUGCCGUGGGAGCGGGGAAUUGAAGGGUGGCGCCAGUCGCUGCAGGAGAUUCGACGGCAGCGGGCGGACUGGAAGGGGCCGGCAGCGAGCGGGGGCAUACGGACUGGAAGGGGCCGACGGCGAGCAAUGUAAGGGAGCAGGAGAGCGGCACGACAUGGCGGGAGCAGGUGGUCGCCUCUCCAUGGUGCUCAGCUAUCCUGCGUGAGUUGGAGCGAUGCAGGCUGACUGUGCUGCGCAGGAGCGGCGUUAAGGUCAGAGCGGUCUACAUCUUCUUCUUUCCUCGCUCAUAGGUGAGGAUAUCGAUGGAGGCUGGAAAAAUUCCCCGAUGAGCUCCUUCCGCUGUGCUGACUCAUGUAGGACUUUUGGCCUGCAUGAUCUUCUUGCACAGUAAGAUCCUACUGAAGGGUGGGAAGGGGAGCGGUAGAUUCGGCCGUCGAUUUGUGCAAGUGUCCGAGCUGUAAGAUGCAGAUGAUGUACUUGAUGCUGGUGAAGAAAUCAUGUGCACAUGAUGAUCUUUCCUCGACAGAGUUGGUGUUUUGUAACGAUGACUAUCUCUGAUUUUGGAAGCUAAUGGACAUGUCUCCUUCGGUGACAUAAUGAGUGCUUUUCUUAACUUCAAUUAACAAACCCAUCUCCUGGUUUAUGCUCUUCUUUAAUUUCACAUCCCUUGGUUGCAGAGCUAAAGCAAUCUGCCAGUGGUUGGGAUCCUACUGAGAUUAGUAUAAAGCAUGAAGAAUGACCUUGCCAGGAACCACUACUUUCAGUGAGACGGUUCAGCAACUACGACAUUCAGCCUGCAGGUUCACACAUGAUUGAUACCCAAGAACAUGGUUUUGUGACCUUGUUAUGGCGGAUGAUCUUUCAUGUACUAUUGUUUAUAGUAAUAUCUCUUGAAACUCAACUGAAGGGGAAGAUCUGAAGGCUUGGGUGAGCUCAGCCUUGGCCGAGCUGAUACUGUCACCAGCGCAGGGUGGCGUUCGCUUGAGAUUCCACUCAAGAUCGGCCGGAUUUUGUAGUCAGUCGAGUUGUAGUGUUCAGUAAUCAGAACUUGUCAAGUCGUUAAAUUUCAGAGAAGAUGUAAACUCGUAUGAGUUUCAGAAUUAUAUGGCCAUAUCCACUGUAAUUUUAUCCCAAAGCUGCUAAUGUAUGAGUUUCAGCGCUGCAAAUGUAUGAGUUUUGUGCACUAUCCUGUCAUCUACUACAAUGCCCAAGCUUGUACACUGUAGUUUGAAGUUUUUGUGUAUUUCUUAAUCGACUUGCUAGAUGGAAUGGUGUUCAGUUAGAGAAGAUGGAUGCUUGCUUGGUAGCUUAUCAUAUGUAUUGUCCCUUUUGAUUUUGCUUGUAGAUUUUCAGAUAGUAUUUUUGCUGGCCAACCUUCUAU